AGCCCUCCGAAAACUGGUGAAUGACCAGCAGAAUAACUGGGAUCUGUAUCUAGAUCCCACCCUGUUUUCACUGCGGUCAAAAGUACACACCACAACAAAAUACUCACCUUUUUUUCUGAUGUAUGGAAGAGAGGCAGUAUUUCCAUCAGAAGUGCCUGCUCAAGUGCCGAUUUCCAACAUCAUUCUGCCAGACGACAAAAGGUACAGUGACUAUGUACAGUCUGAAAGUGAAGCACAACAUGCAGUUAAAGAAACUGCGCAAGAAAACAUUGCGAAGUCACAAGACAAGCAAAAGGUUGCAUACGCCAAGCAGGUCCUGAAAAAGUACAAAAAUGUUGUGUACAAUGUAGGGGAUCAAAUUCUGCUUCUAAAUAUGAGGAAACGUGGGCGAAAAGGAGGAAGACUUGAACCGGAUUUUUCAGGUCCCUACACAAUUGAUGACAUCAGUGGAAAAUGUGUUGGACCGAAAAACGCUGAGGGAAAUACUUUAAAAAGUCUAUACAGUAUUGACCACAUUAAACCUUAUAGAACAAGCCACCCUGUCCAAGUCUCAACUCCAACUGAACCUGUUGAGAGUAGCCCAUCUUCUGAGAUGCAGCCUUGCAGUCCUCAGCAUCAUCCUGAAGCGCUGCAAAAUAACAGACCCUCUGUCAUACAGUUUGCACCAAAAAUAGCUCAGGUAAAAUCAGUCCAAGCACCAGAAGAGCUUGUACCAGUGACCCCCCAGAAACCCAGCACGUAAGAAAAAGGUGGCAUAGCUAAAAAUCUCAUUCUGACCGGUUGGUCAAUUGUUGCCAGUUUGGCUAGUCGAAUGGAUAGAAUUUUUUUUUUUCUCCCCUCUUGCUAAUUUUGACCUGUUGGUCCAAUUUUGGCUAAUUUCUCCCCUCUGGCAUGGUUAUUUUGUUGGCCCGUUGGCCCUUGUCUGUUUGUGGCCCGUUGGCCAUUGACCGUGAUUUUCAAAUGGCAACUGUUAUUACUAAAGAAACUUAUCAUAUUUUGUUUUUUAGUGAAGUGGCUUUGGGCUGCAAAAGACACCGGGCGUGUGGAGGCAGUCGUUGGGCCAUACAAAUUGUAUGACUCUUCUUUUCGCACACUGGAGGACAGUGGGUGGCUUUCUGAUGAGGUCAUUGAUGGAUACCUGCACUGCCUCAUUAGGAAACAAAAGGCA
This is a long non-coding RNA of Oreochromis aureus, 1168 nucleotides long. RefSeq lists it as uncharacterized. The record is from RefSeq and is a predicted model, not a curated record. The transcript is spliced from 3 exons. Lineage: Eukaryota; Metazoa; Chordata; Actinopteri; Cichliformes; Cichlidae.